RNAcentral lists this transfer RNA (90 nucleotides) under Streptomonospora nanhaiensis. Its description in RNAcentral is "tRNA-OTHER". Lineage: Bacteria; Bacillati; Actinomycetota; Actinomycetes; Streptosporangiales; Nocardiopsidaceae. The record is from RNAcentral.
GCGCAGGUGAGAGGAGCUUGGAAAAGCCCGCUACACCACGCGCGAUCUUCCAAGCUGGCCGUGCGGGUUCGAUUCCCGUCGCCCGCUCCA